RNAcentral lists this non-coding RNA (30 nucleotides) under Mus musculus (house mouse). Lineage: Eukaryota; Metazoa; Chordata; Mammalia; Rodentia; Muridae. The record is from RNAcentral.
UAUAAUGGAAGAGUCUUCUUCAGUCAUAGA